UACGAAGGGGGCUAGCGUUGCUCGGAAUCACUGGGCGUAAAGGGUGCGUAGGCGGGUCUUUAAGUCAGGGGUGAAAUCCUGGAGCUCAACUCCAGAACUGCCUUUGAUACUGAGGAUCUUGAGUUCGGGAGAGGUGAGUGGAACUGCGAGUGUAGAGGUGAAAUUCGUAGAUAUUCGCAAGAACACCAGUGGCGAAGGCGGCGAUCUGGGUCGAUACUGACGCUGAGGUGCGAAAGCGUGGGGAGCAAACAGG
This 253-nucleotide ribosomal RNA is filed under the name uncultured bacterium. RNAcentral's name for it is "partial 16S ribosomal RNA". It matches the Rfam family "Bacterial small subunit ribosomal RNA", at positions 524 to 776 of the family's 1533-position model. The record is from RNAcentral.